CUUAUCCAGGGGCUUAUCUUGAGUGUUGUAAGGGUCUGGUUUAUCUUCCCAGUCCUUCUCCUUUCUCUGCUCCUGGGCACUGCUGGAGUUUCCCCACUGGCUGCUGCCAUCAGAGCCAGCGCUCUUCUGCUUGGGCAGCCAGUAGAACCCAAAAAUCACGAGGAGGAUUUCAGCAAAGGCCCAGAACCACCACUGCUGGCAGGCAGAGAGGAGCAAGCUUUCCUCACUGAGUCUGGUCUGCUCCUGGAUGCUCUUCUCCAUCUCCUUCAGCCAAGCCAUCUCCUGAUUCAGACGCCCCUCAUGCUGCUUCAGGAGCUCUUCCGUGACCUUGACUGACUGGUCAUCCAUCAGCAGCGUGAAUUGUAGGACACCCAGCACCAUGAGGAUUUGGGUGACGCUCAGAGCCAUGGCCUGGAAGAGGAGGAUGGAGAGAAGGGGCUCAGCAGGGCUGAGUGGCAGGGAAAUGGUGGUUACACUGCCAGAUGGGGCACCUGGGGACUUGUCCCCUCUGAUGUCACAGGUGCCAGAGCCCCAUGGUGACCCCACCCUGCCAGCCUGGGCUUUGGAUGGAACUGAGAUGAAACUCAGAUGGAACCAGAGAGUUUAUGACCUUUGGAAGGAGGAGCAGCCACUCAGGAGGACUUCAAGCUGUCGUGGGGUUAUGCAGGGAGAAAACUGGAAGAGCCAAAGCCUGACUGGAAGUUAAUUUGUCCAGUGCUGUAAAAGACUAAAAAAUGUUUCCGUAAGUCCAUUAGCAACAAAAGGAGGGCUCAGGAGAAUCUUCAGCCUUUGCUGGUUGGGAGGAAGCACAGUGACAAAGAAGGAGAAGGAGGAAGAUUCUGAGGCAGAGAAGGGAACUCCCUGACAGCUUCCUUGCAUGCCAUCAGACGUCUCCGACCCUUGAACAGGGCUUUUCACAAUGUACAUUUUGGAUAUAGACUCUUAAAUUCUGCCUAAGCACCACUUUGCAUGAAUAAAUCUCUUUUUUGAACUGAGAA
Molecule: long non-coding RNA, 998 nt
Organism: Pipra filicauda (Wire-tailed manakin)
Lineage: Eukaryota; Metazoa; Chordata; Aves; Passeriformes; Pipridae
Exons: 2
Source: RefSeq, a predicted model, not a curated record